GACGAACGCUGGCGGCGUGCUUAACACAUGCAAGUCGAACGGAAAGGCCCUGCUUUUGUUGGGUGCUCGAGUGGCGAACGGGUGAGUAACAAGUGAGUAACCUGCCCUUGACUUUGGGAUAACUUCAGGUAACUGGGGCUAUUACCGGAUAGUAGCUCCUGCUGCAUGGUGUGGGUUGGAAAGUUUCGGCGGUUGGGGAUGGACUCGCGGCUUAUCAGCUUGUUGGUGGGGUAGUGGCUUACCAGGGCUUUGACGGGUAGCCGGCCUGAGAGGGUGACCGGCCACAUGGGGACUGAGAAACGGCCCAGACUCCUAGGGGAGGAAGCAGUGGGGAAUAUGGCAAAAUGGGCGGAAGCCUGAUGCAGAAACGCCGCGUGCGGGAUGACGGCCUUCGGGUUGUAACCCGCUUUAGCAGGUGACGAAGCGUGAGUGACGGUAAUGGGUAAAGAAGCACCGGCUAACUACGUG
This 468-nucleotide ribosomal RNA is filed under the name uncultured bacterium. RNAcentral's name for it is "partial 16S ribosomal RNA". It matches the Rfam family "Bacterial small subunit ribosomal RNA", at positions 28 to 507 of the family's 1533-position model. The record is from RNAcentral.